Molecule: long non-coding RNA, 736 nt
Filed under: Homo sapiens (human)
Lineage: Eukaryota; Metazoa; Chordata; Mammalia; Primates; Hominidae
Description: non-protein coding lnc-LPCAT1-4:25
Source: RNAcentral
GCGCUUUGUGCAGGCGAGGCGCCUCCACUAUGGCCCCGCUUGACCCCGUGCGCAGGCGCGGCAUCCCACCCGCCGCGGUUCCUGCCCCCCAAAGCUCGACCCCGGUGUGGUGCGCAGGCGUAGUCUGCGCGGGGACUGGCGGGACUGCGCGGAGGCGACUACAGGCAUGGCGGUCUGGGUCCUGUCGCGCCUGCUGAGCGCUCCGCGCCUGGCGCUGGCCAAGGCGGUCCUGAGGCACGUGAAUGGCCAGGAUCAGAUUGUGCCCGGCCUGUACGCCUGUGGGGAGGCCGCCUGUGCCUCGGUACAUGGUGCCAAUCGGCUCGGGGCAAACUCGCUCUUGGACUUGGUUGUCUUUGGUCAGGCAUGUGCCCUGAGCAUCGAAGAGUCAUGCAGGCCUGGAGAUAAAGUCCCUCCAAUUAAACCAAACGCUGGGGAAGAAUCUGUCAUGAAUCUUGACAAAUUGAGAUUUGCUGAUGGAAGCAUAAGAACAUGAGAACUGCGACUCAGCAUGCAGAAGGUAAGAGCCUGGACUCGCUCUGGAGUGAGCAGGCGGGCUGCAUACCUGGCCCUGCACUGGUUUUGUUUUUUUAAAACUAGAUCUAGGGGGAUGCAGGUGCAGUUUUGUGUGGAUGUACUGGGAGGUGGUGGAGUCUGGGCUUUUCAUGUACCUGUCACCCAAGUCGUGUGUGUUGUACCCAGUAGGUAAUUGUUCAACCCCACCCCUCCCGCUUUUUGG